Molecule: long non-coding RNA, 2896 nt
Filed under: Olea europaea subsp. europaea
Lineage: Eukaryota; Viridiplantae; Streptophyta; Magnoliopsida; Lamiales; Oleaceae
Source: RNAcentral
AUGUUGAAAAUAGAAGUACAAAAGGGGUCGAACAUUAAACUGUACGUGUAAUUUAUUGUUAGAAAUUUAGUGAAAAUAUAGGGAUUAUCUGGACUUAUAAGUUAGGCGGUGUAGAUUUUAUAAUCAUGAAAUAAGAUGGGGACCAUUGUCUUUUCCAUUAUUGUAAUUGAAUUACUUUUUUUGUAGGUAAUUUUAAUUUUUUUUUAUUUAAGCUUUCUUUAUUAUAUAUUGGGUCUUGAUAAAUUAUGUUUUUUGAUGGUCAGUUUAAUUUACUACUCUUUUUGUCCCUCUUUUUUUUAUUAAGGGACUACUACCAAUUAUUAAUUAUCUCUUUCUAUUUUUCUUAAUCAUUAUUUGCUUAAUCUAUUGCUACUAAAAUUUCAUGGAGGUAACUCUAUUUCUCAUUAGCUUCUAAUGGCUUUUUCUCCACAUUUUUACCAUUUAUGUUUAGCAUAAUAGGUCUUGCUAAUAUUCUUAAUACAGAUAGUAAAACUUAUUAGCCAACUAGUAAAUUUUCCCAUUCAAUACUCUUUCGACUAAAUGUUCCCUUUUUUCUCUUCAUCCUUCGUAUUGGAAGAAUAGACAAAAAAGUUGAUGUUAUUCAACCUAAGACCUAUUUAAAUGUAGCAAUAAAAAUGAAAAUUUUUCUAUUGGAUAAUUACAGUAGUAUCACAGAAUUGAAGUCCUUAAAACAUUUCAACAAUAAAUUGUUACAUGAAUAAGAUAACCUUCGAUUGAGAAAAAUACUAUUUGGUUGAAAUAAAUACUUGAAACUUUUAGUAGAAUUGGUAUCAUGUACUAAUAUCCAGAAAAGCAAAACAACUGCACAUCAUCAGUUACUCGAUAAUGCAAUAGUAAUUAUGAACUGAUAAAAAAAAAUCUUGACAUCCUAGAGCCAAGUUAAGGGAAAAAUGAACUUCUUAAUCAAAAUGAUCAAUCUUCAAGUCAAUAGCAUGCUAAAAGGUAAGGUAGCACAUAAUUUCUAUAAAAUAUCAUGUUUCAAUUUUGUUGAUAAUUGUCUCUUUUAUUGUGCUUUUUUCUUGAACAAAUAAAGGCUUUCGAUUACUGUUGAACAUUUAAUGUAUAUAUUUAUCAAUUGUCUCUGUAGUAUAAAUAUUAUGUCAAACAGGGUUGAUCUACCACACCAUUUCUUUACAAUUAUUGCAAGUUCAUUGGGCCAUAACGAUCGUCUGGUGAGUUCUAAAAUGAUCUCUUUGUUAGCAUUUAUUUAUUGGGCCAUAAUAUUCGUUUGGUGAGUUCUAAAACUAAAUAUAAAGUAAAUAAUAUUCCUUAUAAGACUUAUAUUUUUUUAUAGUCGACACCGAGAACUUUUGUACAACGCUUGGGACACGAUCUUACUCAUGCAGUACGUUUGAUUGGUUAUGAUGACAUUAUCCGUAGCAUACAACUCGAAAGAGUUGAUGAUAACAUAUAUCUUGCUGCUGGACGGCCACAGUUUUUUAACCACCAUAAUUUGCAAAAUGGUUAUGUUAUUGUCUUUGAAUACCAAGGAAAUUCUACUUUCGAUGUUUCGAUAUUUGACCAUUCAAGCGUAGAAGUGACGUAUUAGUCUGAGGGAUUUGAGGUAGAGCUUUCACAUAGUGGUAAUCCUAUUUUCCGAGUAAUAUUAGAGGCUGCUCGCGAUGGUUAUAGAAUAAUUGUGAGCUCCUCUUUCACUUGAAUCUCUUUUAUCUUUAUCUUUCUCAAAUUACACGUAUGAACAAUUUUCAUAUUUGUUUUUCUCAUCUAAUUUGAAAUUUCACGACUUAUAGAUUUGUCAUUCUAUUUUGUAGUAUGUACCUAGAGCCUUCGCUCGAUUGUAUCUACCAAAAUUUGUACAGAGUGUUCAAAUCCAUGAUAGUUCACAUUAUAAUUGGUUAGUGCAAACGAAUCUAAGAACCAAUGGUUAUGUAUGACAUUUCACCGUAGAUUGGGCAGAUUAUGUUAGGGAGAAACGGUUUCAAAUACGUGAAACAUGUGUAUUUGAACUUAUAGACGAUGAAAUCCCAAUGUUCGUGGUUUACAAAGUGUGUCGCACUGAUGGGACUAUUACAUAAAUUGUACAUCUUCAUUCGUAGCUUUCACGUUUGCUUAUUAUGGAACAUCUGUUAUGUUCUCUUAUGCAUGAACACUAUAUAACUAGAUCCAUUGGGAUUUUGACUUGUAAUUUGCUUAUGUUCUUCUUAUUUCAAGAUCGCAUCCAAUUUGAAGAUUCUGUUCAUUUUGAAUAGGUUGUAACAGAAAUUUGAUUUAAUUACAUAUAAUUAACCUAUAUGUUGAUGUCCUACAUUUGGACUUCAUGCAAUGCUACAUCAUCGUCAUUUGGAGUUUGACAACCUUCUAGCUAAAAUUAUUUCAAGUAAGUAAACAAUUUUAUGAUUUGUGAUUUUAUAAACAAUAUACAAAAUUAUUUAUUCCCACUCUUAGUGUCUCCACUUUUUUUGCAGGUACAUUUAGAGAGUCAAAUAUUGGCAAUAGUGUUUGAGCCAUUUCCAAAGCAUUUAUCACUAAGUUUAGAAAGAACUCUUCUAAAAGUCUACCAUAAUUUAAAGGAGCAAUCAAAUAUCUUCACGAAAACUUCUCUUUUGUUUAUAGUUACAAAAUGAACAAGAUAUAGCUCAAACCAACAAUGACUUUUCUGUUAAAAUAUUUGAUUGAUCUUUUAAAUUAUAUUUUGCUUUUGGGAGACUUUUUCUAAUUUAGUGAUGAUUACUUUGGAAGAGGUGUAAACUCUAUAUUUCAACAUGAUAUUACAUUGAGGUGAUUCUUUAACUAACAUUUAUUAAAUGACAUUUUUUUCCAUGGUGUCAUUUGCUACUUUUGUGUUCUAUUUUAGAAUGGACUUCAAAAGGACAAUUUAAUCGACCCUAAUUACCGGUCAAUACCUGCCUAGUCG